This 402-nucleotide ribosomal RNA is filed under the name uncultured bacterium. RNAcentral describes it as "bacterial SSU rRNA". It matches the Rfam family "Bacterial small subunit ribosomal RNA", at positions 355 to 774 of the family's 1533-position model. The record is from RNAcentral.
UCGGGAAUUUUGGGCAAUGGGCGAAAGCCUGACCCAGCAACGCCGCGUGAGGGAUGAAGUAUUUCGGUAUGUAAACCUCGAAAGAAUGGGAAGAAUAAAUGACGGUACCAUUUAUAAGCUCCGGCUAACUACGUGCCAGCAGCCGCGGUAAUACGUAGGGAGCAAGCGUUGUUCGGAUUUACUGGGCGUAAAGGGCGCGUAGGCGGCGCGGUAAGUCACUUGUGAAAUCUCUGAGCUCAACUCAGAACGGCCAAGUGAUACUGCUGAGCUAGAGUGCGGAAGAGGUAACCGGAAUUCUUGGUGUAGCGGUGAAAUGCGUAGAUAUCAAGAGGAACACCUGAGGCGAAGGCGGGUUGCUGGGCCGACACUGACGCUGAUGCGCGAAAGCCAGGGGAGCAAAUG